RNAcentral lists this long non-coding RNA (2262 nucleotides) under Zonotrichia albicollis (white-throated sparrow). RNAcentral describes it as "lncRNA (ENSZALG00000010575.1)". Lineage: Eukaryota; Metazoa; Chordata; Aves; Passeriformes; Passerellidae. The record is from RNAcentral.
AUGUUUUGCAGCCUGUCUGGCAGCAGCCUUUGCGGCGGCAGGACACCGGGGGAUGGGGCAGCAGCAGCGCCGGGGCGCCAGAGGCGCAGCCCGGGCUCAAGUAAGUGCCGGCACAGCCGAGGGGGUGAGCAGGCCCCGGCCCCCGCCCCGCUCCGACCGCUGCGGGGCCUCCCCCGCCCGCUCCCCGCCAGCCCUGCCUCAGCAGCCGCCACCCAGCACCCCGGAGGAGACGGCGCUCCGCCCGCCCCCAGGCCCGCACUCACCACCGCCGGGCCCUGGCUUUCCGUGCGGGCCAGGGCCGCGGCCGCCUUCAGCCUGUGGCGCGUCCGGCAGCGCCCGGCGCCGGGAGGCUCCCGCCGCUCCUCCCCUGGCGGGCGACGGCGGCGGGCACCCUCCGCCAGGCGCCGGGACGGGUCCGCCAUCGGCGGCGGCGUUGCCACAGGAACAGCUGCCCGCGGGCGCGGAGCUGAGCCGGGAUCUGCCGGGAGCGAGGCCGGGCUCGUCGCCGUCACAUCCGCGCCCCGCGCAGUGACGCCAUUCCGGGGCGGGGGCUGGGGAGGGGCCGGGAUGGCAGCGGCGAGCGGGCGGGUUGCGGCCCGCUGCGCCGCCCAAUCUCCUCCACUGUUUGCUGCCGUCUUCCAUCCCUCAUCUCGUGCUGUGGCCACUUCAGAAGAUCCUGUGUUUCCCAACAGAAGUGAGUACAACAGGAGACUGGCCGGCGGAGGCUCGGCAGAGCUGCGUCAGCUCGCACACGGACGGACGGGCGGACGGAGGCAGCAGAGCGCACGGCCUCGGCUAGACGGCAGUGUUGGCUCACGCUCCCAGCACAGCCCGGCUGCUGCUCGGGUCCGUGCAGCCGGCAAUCCCUGUGCGGGGAAUCGCCCUUCCACCUCCCUUUUUUGUCAUCUGAAAAAACCAAUGGUUCAGCAUCUCUGAAACUUCAGCCUCGAAAACAACAACCACAAAAGAGGCGCUCGGGGCGUAGGGUAGAGCAACAGCCAAAAAGGCUCAAGUGAAAUUCCCAAAGCAGAAAGAACACACCUUUUCCUUAACAGUAAAAGGUGUUUUCUCCCUUUAAUUCAAAUUUCUGCAUGUCAGUAGAGGUCCAAUUUAACAGUGAGACACCACUAAAUGAGCUUGUUAUUAAGAGGAAGUUACAGUUUUUGAAAUGGCUCUUUGCAUUCAAAUGGAAGAGAGGUGGAGAACUCUGCCACAAACACUGGAAGAGACAAAUGGUUAAAAAGAUAAAGACCUUCAAAGACCAUAUGUUGCCCCAAGCAGCCGUUAAUUGAUUUUACUGUGGUUCAGUGAGUCUGGCUUGCUUUUAAUGGUUCAUUUGGCAAGUUGUUGCUGCAGCGAUUUCUAAUAAUAAUAAUGUCAUAAUAAUCUUUUAACUGGGUGCAGAUGUGUGGCUAUUCAGGAUUGCUCUAAAAGCGAUUUCUGGACUUGGUGAGACCAAAAAACAUAGACAGUACGUUCCUUUAGUUCCUUCCUCUGUGGCACACAUCACACUUAAGAACAGACGGACAACAGUCACUCUAAGGAAGAGGAAAACGUAUUUUCUUCCACUCAUUUUGAAAUAAUUGCAGCAGUUAAGAGCCCAUGGCCAGCAGAUAAAGACAACAUUUACUUUGUUCACACUACGUGUGUUACUGAUUACAGUCAUCAAGACAAUAUAUUUUUCCUCAACAAAUUAUUUUUUGGCAGAGUGAUUUUCAUAGUUCUCCAUUACAAAAGAUAUAGAUGAUAUUUUGACUCUAUCCUUACACUGAUUCAAGUAGCAAAGUAAUCAAAAUUACUAAAAUGAUGAACUACAAUUAAGACCAUGUAUUGGAUUUUUUAUAGUGAACCAAAAGCUCAGUGCCAGCAUUAGAGUACAAAAAGAAAAAAAAAAAUUAAACCCAAGCAAGUGAAAUAACUUGCUGGUUAUGCAGCUUGAUAAUCACAUCUUAUCAAUUUUCAUCAGCUGCAGUCAUCCUGCUGUCACUACACAUUGCUACAAAGGCUCUCAAAUGCAGGAAAACACACUCUGAGUUCUCUGUUGUCAUUUUUCAGAAGUAACUGUGGAUGGACAAUACAUUUUGUGGCAGGUAAAAGUGUCUAUUGCAAGAAGGAGAAAUCCCUAGCACAAUCUCUGUUUCAAUUUCUUCCCCUUUUCCUUUCUUUAGAAGACUAAAUCCAAAAUCCACACAAAUUACUCACUUGACUUGGGGCAAAUCAUCCCAUCAAAGUCAAUAAAAGCAAACAAUUUUUAAAAAAUCA